AGUGAACGCUGGCGGCAGGCCUAACACAUGCAAGUCGAGCGGCAGCGCGUCCGACCACCCUCGGGUGGUCGGAUGGCGGCGAGCGGCGGACGGGUGAGGAAUGCAUCGGAAUCUGCCUCGUUGUGGGGGAUAACGUAGGGAAACUUACGCUAAUACCGCAUACGACCUACGGGUGAAAGUGGGGGACCUUCGGGCCUCACGCGAUGAGAUGAGCCGACGCCGGAUUAGCUAGUUGCGGGGUAAAGGCCCACCAAGGCGACGAUCCGUAGCUGGUCUGAGAGGAUGAUCAGCCACACUGGAACUGAGACACGGUCCAGACUCCUACGGGAGGCAGCAGUGGGGAAUAUUGGGACAAUGGGGGCAACCCUGAUCCAGCCAUGCCGCGUGUGUGAAGAAGGCC
Molecule: ribosomal RNA, 400 nt
Filed under: uncultured bacterium
Lineage: Bacteria
Description: bacterial SSU rRNA
Rfam family: Bacterial small subunit ribosomal RNA
Source: RNAcentral